ACGAACGCUGGCGGCGUGCUUAACACAUGCAAGUCGAGCGGUAAGGCCUUUCGGGGUACACGAGCGGCGAACGGGUGAGUAACACGUGGGUGAUCUGCCCUGCACUCUGGGAUAAGCCUGGGCAACUGGGUCUAAUACUGGAUAUGACCUGCUCUCGCAUGGGGGUGGGUGGAAAGAUUUAUCGGUGCAGGAUGGGCCCGCGGCCUAUCAGCUUGUUGGUGGGGUAAUGGCCUACCAAGGCGACGACGGGUAGCCGACAUGAGAGGGUGACCGGCCACACUGGGACUGAGACACGGCCCAGACUCCGACGGGAGGCAGCAGGGGGGAAUAUGGCACAAUGGGCGGAAGCCGGAUGCAGCGACGCAGCGUGAGGGAGGAAGGCCGUCGGGUUGUAAACCGCUUUCAGCAGGGACGAAGCGUGAGUGACGGUACCUGCAGAAGAAGCACCGGCUAACUACGU
Molecule: ribosomal RNA, 460 nt
Filed under: uncultured bacterium
Lineage: Bacteria
Description: bacterial SSU rRNA
Rfam family: Bacterial small subunit ribosomal RNA
Source: RNAcentral